This is a non-coding RNA of Pelobates cultripes (western spadefoot toad), 1405 nucleotides long. The record is from the annotation of a GenBank genome assembly. Lineage: Eukaryota; Metazoa; Chordata; Amphibia; Anura; Pelobatidae.
CUCAUUACCACUACACCUGGAACAAACUAGAGAAAAAAUGAUCUCACGCUAAAGUUCAAAAUAUGCCUUUUGAAUUACACCAGGGUGUAUUCUUUAAUAUGUGUUUGUGGGGAAGUUUCAAUAACCAACCAUCUAAACUACUUGAAAAGGGAACAUGGACACAGCGUAAAACUUCAAAGUUAGAAAAAAACUGAAUGGCUGCGUCUUAAAUGUGCCCCUUCAACAUCCACAUAUACCUGGCAAUGGUACAUACGGGGGUAUUGCUGUACUCAGAUGACAAAGCUGAGCAACAUAUGAAGUAUUAUACAGUCACAGCACACAUAAGGUUUGCAAAAUAUACUGCGCAAACUCACUUUGUGUGUCAAAAAGGCAGAAAAAAACGCUUAUUACCACUACACUUGGUACAAGCUAGCGGAAAAAUGAUCCCACGCUAAGGUUCAAAAUAGCCUGGGAUGUGUUCUUUAAGAAAUGGUAUGCCUUUAUGAUGUAGUUGUAAUAUGUAGCCUGCUCAAAUGCUACAAAGUGAAACACGGACACAUCAAAACCCUCCAUGAAAAUUCACACUUAAAAACCUGAACUCGUCACGUCUCUUUUACAGCACUGUAACUUCACAAAAUAGUGCCAAAGACAUACAAUGGGGGUGUCAUUUUACUCAGAAGACUUAGCUUAUCAUAAUUUGGGGGGUUUGAAGUUAGUAGCACAUAUGAAAUAUACACAAUGCCCAGCAAAAAUGUAAUCCUUAUGUAAAAGAAAUGCCCAAAAUUAUUUUUUACCACAUACUUUGGCAUAUAUUGGUGAAAAAAUGGGAGCAUGUUAAGGCACAAUAUGCACCAUAUGAGAUACCCUGGAGUGUCUACUUUUACAAAUGGUAUGCCUUUGUGGGGGGUUUUUGAACAGUCAAACUGUUAUAAUACCCCAAAUGGAAGCAUAGGCUCAUUAUUGAAUACUGAAAAGGACAGGUCUCCUGUAUGGCACUGUAGCUUCACGAAAUAGUGCCAAACACAUACAAUGGGGGUGUAAUUUUACUCAGCAGAUGUAACUGAACACAAAAUAAAACUUUGUACAGAAAAAGCACACAACAACUUUACUAAAUACACAUGAGAAGUUCUUUGUUAUAAGUUUGUGUGCCAAAAAACAAAAAAAAACAACAACAAUUUUACUCCACUAUUUAGCAGAGGUUGGCGGUGAAAUGGCUACGUAGAAAGUGUCAAAACAACCUUAGAUAAAUAGCCUGUGAUGUCUACUUUAUAUAAAUAUAUACUUUUGUGUGGCAAUUUUGUUUUCUUUUAUGGCUAUUAAGCUUACAAGACAAAAAUACAAAAUUCUAAAAUCGCUCAACAUUAAAAGUUUAUUUUAUUGCUUGUGUUUUGUGACCUGUAACUACCAAAAAAAACUUAAAAUCCCA